RNAcentral lists this ribosomal RNA (255 nucleotides) under uncultured bacterium. RNAcentral describes it as "partial 16S ribosomal RNA". It matches the Rfam family "Bacterial small subunit ribosomal RNA", at positions 99 to 354 of the family's 1533-position model. The record is from RNAcentral.
CGGACGGGUGAGUAACGCGUGGAAAACCUGCCGUAUACUGGGGGAUAACACUUAGAAAUAGGUGCUAAUACCGCAUAAGCGCACAGCUUCGCAUGAAGUGGUGUGAAAAACUCCGGUGGUAUACGAUGGUUCCGCGUCUGAUUAGCUUGUUGGUGGGGUAAUGGCUCACCAAGGCGACGAUCAGUAGCCGGCCUGAGAGGGUGGACGGCCACAUUGGGACUGAGACACGGCCCAAACUCCUACGGAAGGCAGCAG